ACGUAGGGGGCAAGCGUUAUCCGGAUUUACUGGGUGUAAAGGGAGCGUAGACGGCGAUGCAAGUCUGGAGUGAAAGCCCAGGGCUCAACCCUGGGACUGCUUUGGAAACUGUAUGGCUAGAGUGCUGGAGAGGUAAGUGGAAUUCCUAGUGUAGCGGUGAAAUGCGUAGAUAUUAGGAGGAACACCAGUGGCGAAGGCGGCUUACUGGACAGUAACUGACGUUGAGGCUCGAAAGCGUGGGGAGCAAACAG
RNAcentral lists this ribosomal RNA (251 nucleotides) under uncultured bacterium. RNAcentral's name for it is "partial 16S ribosomal RNA". It matches the Rfam family "Bacterial small subunit ribosomal RNA", at positions 525 to 775 of the family's 1533-position model. The record is from RNAcentral.